AGAAGAGAUCUUUCAGAAGAGGGUCUACCUUCAUCUGCAACACCCACAUAAUUCCAGUGAAAAAUCAAGAGGGGGUAGCAAUGAUGUUUAUUAUUAACUUUGAGUACGUAACAGAUGAAGAGAACACUGCAUCUCCUGAGAAGUGCAACCCAAUAUUGCCAUCCAAACUUGUAAAUCGAUGCCAUGAUUUUGUGCAUUUUGAAUAUUUUACUUCCUG
Molecule: long non-coding RNA, 217 nt
Organism: Lagopus leucura (white-tailed ptarmigan)
Lineage: Eukaryota; Metazoa; Chordata; Aves; Galliformes; Phasianidae
Exons: 3
Source: RefSeq, a predicted model, not a curated record